Molecule: non-coding RNA, 1075 nt
Organism: Dermacentor albipictus
Lineage: Eukaryota; Metazoa; Arthropoda; Arachnida; Ixodida; Ixodidae
Source: RefSeq, a predicted model, not a curated record
CUUCACCCGCCUCUGCUUCCUGUCACGGUCGCCUGUUUCCGGUCGCGGGCAGCUAUUGACGACAUGGGAAACGUGGACGCCGCUUCGCGCCGUGCGAUUUUGUUCGCGCUCCUAGACAGCUCCGACUCGGACAGUACAAUUUCUAAGUCGAGUGAUGCUUCUUCUGACACGGACAGUGAGUGUGACGCUGCUGUGUGCCAACGGGCAUUUGAUGUGAUGUUCCGCCUGCCUGCAAAGAGGCCUGGCGAUGAUUGGCUUCGUCGAGGACGUCGUUCGGCCAUACUCGGACGACGAGUUCCGCAGGCACUUCCGUCUGUGGCGACCUGUAGCAGAGCAACUGAUUGCGAGAUUUGCUGCUUCGCCGGCGUGCCCGUCUAGCAGCCACGGCGGCGUGCCCGCAAAAUCUGCAGAAACUCACGUGCUGACUUUCAUAUGGUAUGCAGCCAAUAAAACAAGCAUGAGGGCGGUGGCAAGCCGCUUUGAUCUGUCAGACAGUUCUGUUCACAGAAUCCUGAUAAGGGUGGCUAACUUUCUCCUCACCAUGGGUCCAUCUGUUGUGACGUUUCCUUCCAACAUGGAAAAACUGUCGAGUGAAUUCCAGAAGGUGUCUGGAAUCCCUGGUGUUGUUGGCUGCCUUGACGGCUCCUAUAUCAAAAUACAAUGCCCAGACAACAAGGUCUGUUCCACUUACUGCAACCGGCAACAUUACCUUUCAAUAACCCUUCAAGCGGUUUGCGAUUGCAAAAGACGAUUUGUUGACACCUGCAUUGGAAGCUCCAGCAAAAUUCACGAUUCUCGAAUCUUCAAUCUAUCAUCACUUUCAAAGAAACUUCCCAAACUGUGCGAGGACAAUGCGUACCACCUGCUUGGAGACGCGGCCUAUCCCCUCAGGCCGUACCUUCCGACUCCAUUCAGAGACUGGAAUGUUGUCAAAGGCACACAUGGAUUUCAACAAAAAGUUUUCAGCAACGAGGGUGCUAAUAGAAAACAGUUUUAGCAAGCUAAAGGAAAUAUUCCGUCAACUAAUCUACCUUGAGCUCCGCACUGUAGAGUGGCUGAACAAAUUUAUUAUUGC